Molecule: ribosomal RNA, 159 nt
Filed under: Platismatia herrei
Lineage: Eukaryota; Fungi; Ascomycota; Lecanoromycetes; Lecanorales; Parmeliaceae
Description: 5.8S ribosomal RNA
Rfam family: 5.8S ribosomal RNA
About the family: 5.8S ribosomal RNA (5.8S rRNA) is a component of the large subunit of the eukaryotic ribosome. It is transcribed by RNA polymerase I as part of the 45S precursor that also contains 18S and 28S rRNA.
Source: RNAcentral
AAAAACUUUCAACAACGGAUCUCUUGGUUCCAGCAUCGAUGAAGAACGCAGCGAAAUGCGAUAAGUAAUGUGAAUUGCAGAAUUCAGUGAAUCAUCGAAUCUUUGAACGCACAUUGCGCCCCUCGGUAUUCCGGGGGGCAUGCCUGUUCGAGCGUCAUU